Molecule: transfer RNA, 75 nt
Filed under: Spirochaetota bacterium
Lineage: Bacteria; Pseudomonadati; Spirochaetota
Description: Spirochaetes bacterium tRNA-Thr
Rfam family: tRNA
About the family: Transfer RNA (tRNA) molecules are approximately 80 nucleotides in length. Their secondary structure includes four short double-helical elements and three loops (D, anti-codon, and T loops). Further hydrogen bonds mediate the characteristic L-shaped molecular structure. tRNAs have two regions of fundamental functional importance: the anti-codon, which is responsible for specific mRNA codon recognition, and the 3' end, to which the tRNAs corresponding amino acid is attached (by aminoacyl-tRNA synthetases). tRNAs cope with the degeneracy of the genetic code in two manners: having more than one tRNA (with a specific anti-codon) for a particular amino acid; and 'wobble' base-pairing, i.e. permitting non-standard base-pairing at the 3rd anti-codon position.
Source: RNAcentral
GCUGUAAUAGCUCAAUGGUAGAGCCCCGGUUUUGUAAACCGGUCGUUGGAGGUUCAAGUCCUCUUUACAGCUCAA